This 269-nucleotide ribosomal RNA is filed under the name uncultured prokaryote. RNAcentral's name for it is "partial 16S ribosomal RNA". It matches the Rfam family "Bacterial small subunit ribosomal RNA", at positions 524 to 792 of the family's 1533-position model. The record is from RNAcentral.
GACGGAGGUUGCGAGCGUUGUUCGGAAUUACUGGGCGUAAAGGGAGCGCAGGCGGCUUGGUUAGUCCAAAGUGGAAGCCCGGGGCUUAACCUCGGAAGGGCUUUGGAUACUGCCAGGCUAGAGUACGUGAGAGGAGAGCGGAAUUCCAGGUGUAGCGGUGAAAUGCGUAGAUAUCUGGAGGAACACCGGUGGCGAAAGCGGCUCUCUGGCACGAGACUGACGCUGAGGCUCGAAAGCGUGGGGAGCGAACAGGAUUAGAUACCCCCGUA